Molecule: RNase P RNA, 352 nt
Filed under: uncultured Dysosmobacter sp.
Lineage: Bacteria; Bacillati; Bacillota; Clostridia; Eubacteriales; Oscillospiraceae
Description: Bacterial RNase P class A
Rfam family: Bacterial RNase P class A
About the family: Ribonuclease P (RNase P) is a ubiquitous endoribonuclease, found in archaea, bacteria and eukarya as well as chloroplasts and mitochondria. Its best characterised activity is the generation of mature 5'-ends of tRNAs by cleaving the 5'-leader elements of precursor-tRNAs. Cellular RNase Ps are ribonucleoproteins.
Source: RNAcentral
CAGUCGCGCGGAAGGGGCGAAAGGCCCUUCCGUGAGGAAAGUCCGGGCUCCACAGGGCAAGGAUAACGGGUAACGCCCGCCGAAGGCGACUUCAGGAAAAGUGCAACAGAGAUAUACCGCCGCCAAGGCUGCGCCUUGGCGGUAAGGGUGGAAAGGCGAGGUAAGAGCUCACCCGAUGGUGCGUGAAAGUAUCCAUCGCUGUAAACUCUAUUCGGAGCAACACCGGUAUGGGAGCAGGAGCCCCGCGCUCCACGGUCGGCCCGGCCGCUCCCGGGGUGGCUUGAGCGUACCGGCAACGGUGCGUCGAGAUAGAUGACUGUCAGAUACAGAACCCGGCUUACAGUUUUGCUCG